AGAAUCAACGCUGGCGGCGUGCCUAACACAUGCAAGUCGAACGAGAAAGGGGAGCAAUCCCUGAGUAAAGUGGCGACCGGGUGAGUAACACGUGACUAACCUACCCUCGAGUGUGGAAUAACAUCGGGAAACCGAUGCUAAUACCGCAUAACAUCGGCGCUUUUAAGAGAUGCCGAUCAAAGGAGCAAUCCGCUUGAGGAGGGGGUCGCGGCUGAUUAGCUAGUUGGCGGGGUAACGGCCACCAAGGCGAAGAUCGGUAGCCGGCCUGAGAGGGCGCACGGCCACACUGGAACUGAAACACGGUCCAGACUCCUACGGAGGCAGCAGUGGGGAAUUUUGCGCAAAUGGGGGAAACCCUGACGCAGCAACGCCGCGUGGAGGAUGAAGCCCCUUGGGGCGUAAACUCCUUUCGACCAAGACGAUAAUGACGGUACUGGUGGAAGAAGACACCGGCUAACUCUGCGCCAGCAGCCGC
This 475-nucleotide ribosomal RNA is filed under the name uncultured bacterium. RNAcentral's name for it is "SSU rRNA". It matches the Rfam family "Bacterial small subunit ribosomal RNA", at positions 26 to 518 of the family's 1533-position model. The record is from RNAcentral.